This 235-nucleotide ribosomal RNA is filed under the name Klebsiella pneumoniae. RNAcentral describes it as "partial 16S ribosomal RNA". It matches the Rfam family "Bacterial small subunit ribosomal RNA", at positions 918 to 1153 of the family's 1533-position model. The record is from RNAcentral. Lineage: Bacteria; Pseudomonadati; Pseudomonadota; Gammaproteobacteria; Enterobacterales; Enterobacteriaceae.
GGCCCGCACAAGCGUUUGAGCAUGUGGUUUAAUUCGAUGCAACGCGAAGAACCUUACCUGGUCUUGACAUCAACAGAUAUUUCAAGAGAUGGAUUGGUGCCUUCGGGAACUGUGAGACAGGUGCUGCAUGGCUGUAGUCAGCUCGUGGUGUGAAAUGUUGGGUUAAGUCCAGAAACGAGCGCAACACUUAUCCUUUGUUGCCCGCGGUUAGGCCGGGAACUCCAAUGAGAAUGGC